Molecule: ribosomal RNA, 678 nt
Filed under: uncultured soil bacterium
Lineage: Bacteria
Description: bacterial SSU rRNA
Rfam family: Bacterial small subunit ribosomal RNA
Source: RNAcentral
CUUUUCGGAGAGCCGCUUUGGGAUGGGCCUGUGGCCGAUUAGCUAGUUGGUGGGGUAAGAGCCUACCAAGGCGACGAUCGGUAGCUGGUCUGAGAGGACGAUCAGCCACACUGGGAUUGAGAACGGCCCAGACUCCUACGGGGGGCAGCAGUGAGGAAUUUUCCGCAAUGGAGGAAACUCUGACGGAGCAACGCCGCGUGCAGGAGGACGCUUUUCGGAGUGUAAACUGCUUUUCUGUGGGAAGAGAAUGGACGGUACCACAGGAAGAAGCCCCGGCUAACUUCGUGCCAGCAGCCGCGGUAAUACGAAGGGGGCUAGCGUUGCUCGGAAUGACUGGGCGUAAAGGGCGCGUAGGCGGUUUAGUGAGUUGGGCGUGAAAUUCCUGGGCUUAACCUGGGGGCUGCGUUCAAUACCACUAGGCUUGAGUGUGGAAGAGGGUCGUGGAAUUCCCAGUGUAGAGGUGAAAUUCGUAGAUAUUGGGAAGAACACCGGUGGCGAAGGCGGCGACCUGGUCCAUUACUGACGCUGAGGCGCGAAAGCGUGGGGAGCAAACAGGAUUAGAUACCCUGGUAGUCCACGCCGUAAACGAUGUGUGCUGGAUGUUGGGUAACCUAGUUACUCAGUGUCGUAGCUAACGCGGUAAGCACACCGCCUGGGGAGUACGGCCGCAAGGUUGAA